This 1377-nucleotide ribosomal RNA is filed under the name uncultured organism. Its description in RNAcentral is "16S ribosomal RNA". It matches the Rfam family "Bacterial small subunit ribosomal RNA", at positions 93 to 1438 of the family's 1533-position model. The record is from RNAcentral.
UAGUGGCGGAAGGGUUAGUAACACAUGAGUAAUCUGCCUUUAACUUUGGGAUAACGGCUGGAAACGGUCGCUAAUACCGGAUGUGGUGAUGUAUUCGUAGGGGUAUGUCAUUAAAGCAGGGGACCGAGAGGCCUUGCGGUUAGAGAGGGGCUCAUGGGAUAUCAGUUANGUUGGUGUUGGUAAAGUGCGCCCACCAAGUGCAAAGAAACGUCUAGGCGGGUUGAGAGAUUGACCGCCAACAUUGGGACUGAGACACUGCCCAAACUCCUACGGGAGGCUGCAGUCGAGAAUCUUUCGCAAUGGGCGCAAGCCUGACGAAGCGACGCCGUGUGAACGAAGAAGGCCUUCGGGUUGUAAAGUCCUUUCGCUGGGGAGCAAGAGAAGUGGGCGAAUAGUCUACUGAUUUGAGAGUACCUGGUAAAGAAGCACCGGCUAACUCCGUGCCAGCAGCUGCGGUAAUACGGAGGGUGCGAGCAUUAAUCGGAUUUAUUGGGCGUAAAGGGCGCGUAGGCUGGACGAUAAGUCAGACGUGAAAUCUAAGGGCUUAACCUUUGGGCUGCGUUUGAAACUGUGGUUCUAGAGGGGUAGGCGGAGAGAACGGUGAUUCCACAAGUACCGGUGGAAUGCGUAGAUAUGUGGAGGGACACCUGUGGCCGAAGGCGGUUCGUCUAGCUUAUACCUGACGCUGAGGCGCGAAAGCAAGGGGAGCGAACAGGAUUAGAUACCCUGGUAGUCCUUGCCGCAAACGAUGCACACUUGGUGUAGCUGGACUCAACUCUGGCUGUGCCGUAGCCAACGUGUUAAGUGUGCCGCCUGGGGAGUACGCUCGCAAGGGUGAAACUCAAAAGAAUUGACGGGGACCCGCACAAGCAGUGGAACAUGUGGUUUAAUUCGAGGCAACGCGAAGAACCUUACCCAGGUUUGACAUGCAGUGGGCGGCACUAGAGAUAGUGUUUUCCUUCGGGACUGCUGCACAGGUGCUGCAUGGCUGUCGUCAGCUCGUGCCGUGAGGUGUUGGGUUAAGUCCCGCAACGAGCGCAACCCCUAUUGUUAGUUGCCAUCAAGUGAAGUUGGGCACUCUAGCGAGACUGCCCGGGUUAACCGGGAGGAAGGUUGGGAUGACGUCAAGUCCGCAUGGCCCUUAUGCCUGGGGCUACACACGUGUUACAAUGGUCGGUACAGAGGGCGGCGAAGUCGAGAGAUGGAGCAAAUCUUUAAAGCCGAUCUCAGUUCGGAUUGCAGUCUGCAAUUUGACUGCAUGAAGUUGGAAUUGCUAGUAAUGGCGUGUCAGCAACAACGCCGUGAUACGUUCCCGGGUCUUGUACACACCGCCCGUCACAUCAUGGGAGUUGGUUUUACCCGAAGUCGCUGACUUAA